CAAAAUCCAAAAUCGGCGGCCGCCCAAGCCUCUUCUCCCGCUCCCGGCGACAGGGACAGCGCGCGCCGCCGCCGUCGCGCCCGCGGCCCGCGCCCUCACGCCGUCCCACCGCGCGGGCCGCCGCUCACGCCGUCCGCCCGUCCUACCGCGAGUCCGCGACGGCGCGCGCUCAAUCCGCCGCCGCCGCGUCACGCCGCCACCGCACCGAGCACGGGGGCCGCGACAGCCAGGCCAAGGCGCGCAGGCCGGAAGCGCCCCUCCUCCUCGUCCCAGCACUCGCAGCAGCAGCAGGCCGCCGCGACUCCCCCGCCCCAGGCUGCGGCUCCCGCCUCCUCGCCGGCUCUGUCGGACGCGACGCCCGAGCCCGCGGCCAGCGCCCUCAAGGCGGCGCGGCACGGCCACUACGCGCCGGCCGCCGCUCCCGGCCUCAAGCACUGCGCGGCGAGCCGAAGGGGUUGGCCUCGGGGCAGGCAGCUCGGCGACCAGGCAGCUCGGCGCCUCGGCCUGCGCCCCUCCCCUGCUCCCCCUGCUUUCCGCCAGUGCAGCACGACGCGGCCUCCCCGCCGGCUUGACACGGCAGUCGGCACGCCCCCGCGCCGGCGAGUACCGCCUCCUUCACGCCCCCGCGCUACCGAAGCUUCGAUUGAAUCGAUUCCCAAAAUCCCAAGUUGUCGGCUUCGGCUCGGUGCACUGCCAUGGUUGGCCAAGGAAGCAUGGAUGCUGAGAGAGAGCGUGAGACUUCCAGCCAGGGGAAGGGGAAGAUAUUUGUCGAUGGCGGUGAAAUAGAUCGUGAUGCUGGAUCCGGUGACAUUGUCAUUAGUAAAGAAGGAAAACAGGUGUGUCUACGAGGACCGAUUACAACGCCUUGGAGUCAUGGAGAAAAGUGGAAAAACAAUGGUUUCAAGUGUGGUUAUUGUUUGCUUGCUAGAGAUAGUGGAGGUGCAACCAGAUUGAGAAAUCAUCUAGCUGGAGUGGCGGGGAUGUGGUGUCAUGCAAUAAGGUGCCAAGGUUUGUGAGGGAAAUCAUGUUGGCAGAGCAAGUGAAAGGAAAAUUGAAUAAGAUGGACAUUAAAGAACACCGCCUCUUUGUGCAAAAGGCGGUCAUGGAACAAACAUAUGGAGAAGCAAGAAAGGCCAACAUUCCUACUGAUGAAGAAGGGCAGCAUAGAUGGGCAUUAAGAGAAUCAUUGAGGGAUAUAGGAGGGUCAGCUGUUAGCUAUUCACCAUCUUGUGGGGCAAGCGGCAGCAAUAGUAACACAUCACCUGCCACUAGAGUAAGUUGCUCAGGUACUCAGACAACAAUUGGUAGAUACUACUCGAGUCCUAGUAGUGCACAAGUUCCAUUUGAUUUAGACUUGGCACGUAGUAAGGCUCCAUCGCAGCCUAGGGUGGACAUUAUGCUGCAGGGAGAUGCCAAAGUGAGACUUGGAAAAGCUUGGUCAAAGUGGUUCCAUGCCAAUGAUAUUCCUGGAAGGAAAGCUGACUGUCCUUAUUUUGUAUCAGCCAUUAAAUUGACCCAACAGCUUGGAGAAGGAGUGAAUGUUCCAUCAGUAAGAGAGCUAGAUGGUCCUUUGCUAGACAGGAACUAUGAGGAUUUGCUAGCUCAAAUGAAUGAGAACAAGGGAAAUUGGGCUCGAUAUGGGGUCACAAUAAUGUCUGAUUCAUGGACAGGACCAUACAAGAUGUGCAUAAUUAAUUUCAUGAUAUUUUGCAAUGGUCGAAUGUUCUUCCAUAGUUCUGUGGAUGCAACUGGUCAAUCUCAUAAUGCUGAGUACCUCUAUAAGCAUAUUGAUCCCGUGGUUCAAGAGGUCGGGGAAAAGAACGUUAUUCAGAUUGUGACAGACAAUGGUUCCAACUACAAGGCAGCGUGCAAACAACUUGUAGCUGAAUAUCCACAUAUCACUUGGCAGCCAUGUGCUGCACAUACCAUCAACUUGAUGUUGAAAGAAAUAGCAAGCUUUAACGAGGUUGCUGAAGUAGUUCAUAGUGCGCAGCGAAUGUGUAAAUUCUUCUACAAUCAUAAUAGGCUGCAUGCUAUGAUGCGAGAGAAGAUAGGGGGAGAAUUGAUUCGAUGGAACGCCACCAGAUUUGGCACGGUUUUCUUGUUCUUGCAGAGUUUUUGGGACAGAAAAGACAAAUUUCAAGCCUGGAUGGUGUCCGAUGAAUGGAACAAAAGUGAUUGGAAAGAUGAACUAGACCGUGAUUUCACGUAUGAUUGCUUGACAAGUAGGAAGUGGUGGGAGAAUGUAGAGUUGGUGUUGAAAGCUGUUACACCACUAUAUUAUGUGCUUCGCUUUGCUGAUCAGCAGAAGAACGGGACAAUAUCUGGAUUCAUUCCAAGGAUGGUAGAUGCUCAUAAAGAAAUAUUUGCUAAAUUAAAGCAUGAUAAACUUGUGCCAAAGGAUCAUCUACAUAGAAUCAAUGAAGUAAUAACUAGGAGAACUCGAUAUCUUUUCAAUGGAACUCUCAUGCCUGCAGCUGCUGGACUGGAUCCUCAAAGAUUAUAUAAAUCAAACUAUGCACAAGAACCAGCUAUUGUCCUAGCUGUAAGUUUAGCACUCAAAAAAAUAGCAGGGUCACCAGAGGAGGCAUCAAUUGCAAUUGAUGAAUACACGAACAUAUUUAGCCAAAAGAGAUUGUUAUUCGGUUCGUUGGAGGCUCGGAGCUCUGCACUUCGUGCUAAUACCACUCCAGCUGAUUGGUGGUGGUCAUAUGGAGGUCAGUGCAAAACAUUACAAAAGCUAGCUGUGCGCAUUGUUGCACAAUGUAAUUCAUCAAGUGGCUGUGAGCGAAACUGGAGCACUUUUGCUUUGGUUCAUACUAAAUUGAGAAAUAAGUUAGGAUAUGACAAGCUAAAGAAGUUGGUCUAUGUUCAUUACAAUCUGAAGUUGCAAUUGCAACAACUUGAUGAUACUUUUCAAAGGCUUCGACAAAAAGGAGACAGAUCCAUGUAGCUUGAUGAUGGAUGUUGCUUUAUUUGAUGAAGGCAACCCCAUCAUGGAGUGGCUAUCCAACUCUAGAUCUGAGUCUACACCAAUUCUUGAUGAAUAUGAUGAUGAGGAUGAUGAUUGGACCACACAUGGAGGCUUUCUAAUCGAUGAGCUACAGAUGAAUGCAUCGGAUGUGGCUAAAUUCAAGAGGAAGCUUCGUUUCAGUCAAAAGGGCGGUAAGAAGAAAUGGAGGGGCUAUGAAAUUGUUGAUGAAUAUGCAAAUCUAUUUGAAGAUGACGGUGAUUCAGAUUCUUCACAUGGUAGCCCUGUUUAUGCUGAGUCAAAUGACAGUAGCUCUGCUAGCUCUGAUAAUGAAGAUAUUGAUGGCGAUGUGGAGGGAGGCAAAGAUGAUGGUGGUACGGCCCCUGUAACCAAAGGAGAUGGUGAAUGUGCUAGUGGUAGUAAAAUUCAUGAUAGUGCAAAUGUGAGGAUUGGAAAACCGGUUCAUAUUCGUCCGAGGUCAACUAGAAAGAAGAAACCAACUAUAAAGUGUGUCAAAGACCUCUAAAAGCAUAUGGAUGCUUUAAUGGUGAAUGGUGAUGCAAAUUGAAGCCCCAAUGGAUAAGAUAUGGACCUGCAAUGUGGUGCAAGUUCCAUAAUUUGGCAUAUUUUGGGAAGUUUUUAAACAUGUAAUAUUGGGCACUUCAUUACUUUGUAAUACCAUGGACAUGUAAUAUUGGGACUUUCCAAGUCUCCUUUGAUUUGGGACUGUUAAAACUACUAUUUGGGAUUGUUGCUGUUGAGACUUAAUUUAGGACUUGCUGUUGAGACUUAAUUUGAGAGUGUGGUGCUAUGGAUAUACCAUUUGUGUAUUAUAAUA
This is an RNA transcript of Panicum virgatum (switchgrass), 3809 nucleotides long. RefSeq lists it as uncharacterized. The transcript has 9 exons. The record is from RefSeq and is a predicted model, not a curated record. NCBI's taxonomy places the organism in Eukaryota, Viridiplantae, Streptophyta, Magnoliopsida, Poales, Poaceae.